Molecule: ribosomal RNA, 1555 nt
Filed under: Escherichia coli
Lineage: Bacteria; Pseudomonadati; Pseudomonadota; Gammaproteobacteria; Enterobacterales; Enterobacteriaceae
Description: bacterial SSU rRNA
Rfam family: Bacterial small subunit ribosomal RNA
Source: RNAcentral
UUAAAUUGAAGAGUUUGAUCAUGGCUCAGAUUGAACGCUGGCGGCAGGCCUAACACAUGCAAGUCGAACGGUAACAGGAAGAAGCUUGCUGCUUUGCUGACGAGUGGCGGACGGGUGAGUAAUGUCUGGGAAACUGCCUGAUGGAGGGGGAUAACUACUGGAAACGGUAGCUAAUACCGCAUAACGUCGCAAGACCAAAGAGGGGGACCUUCGGGCCUCUUGCCAUCGGAUGUGCCAGAUGGGAUUAGCUAGUAGGUGGGGUAACGGCUCACCUAGGCGACGAUCCCUAGCUGGUCUGAGAGGAUGACCAGCCACACUGGAACUGAGACACGGUCCAGACUCCUACGGGAGGCAGCAGUGGGGAAUAUUGCACAAUGGGCGCAAGCCUGAUGCAGCCAUGCCGCGUGUAUGAAGAAGGCCUUCGGGUUGUAAAGUACUUUCAGCGGGGAGGAAGGGAGUAAAGUUAAUACCUUUGCUCAUUGACGUUACCCGCAGAAGAAGCACCGGCUAACUCCGUGCCAGCAGCCGCGGUAAUACGGAGGGUGCAAGCGUUAAUCGGAAUUACUGGGCGUAAAGCGCACGCAGGCGGUUUGUUAAGUCAGAUGUGAAAUCCCCGGGCUCAACCUGGGAACUGCAUCUGAUACUGGCAAGCUUGAGUCUCGUAGAGGGGGGUAGAAUUCCAGGUGUAGCGGUGAAAUGCGUAGAGAUCUGGAGGAAUACCGGUGGCGAAGGCGGCCCCCUGGACGAAGACUGACGCUCAGGUGCGAAAGCGUGGGGAGCAAACAGGAUUAGAUACCCUGGUAGUCCACGCCGUAAACGAUGUCGACUUGGAGGUUGUGCCCUUGAGGCGUGGCUUCCGGAGCUAACGCGUUAAGUCGACCGCCUGGGGAGUACGGCCGCAAGGUUAAAACUCAAAUGAAUUGACGGGGGCCCGCACAAGCGGUGGAGCAUGUGGUUUAAUUCGAUGCAACGCGAAGAACCUUACCUGGUCUUGACAUCCACGGAAGUUUUCAGAGAUGAGAAUGUGCCUUCGGGAACCGUGAGACAGGUGCUGCAUGGCUGUCGUCAGCUCGUGUUGUGAAAUGUUGGGUUAAGUCCCGCAACGAGCGCAACCCUUAUCCUUUGUUGCCAGCGGUCCGGCCGGGAACUCAAAGGAGACUGCCAGUGAUAAACUGGAGGAAGGUGGGGAUGACGUCAAGUCAUCAUGGCCCUUACGACCAGGGCUACACACGUGCUACAAUGGCGCAUACAAAGAGAAGCGACCUCGCGAGAGCAAGCGGACCUCAUAAAGUGCGUCGUAGUCCGGAUUGGAGUCUGCAACUCGACUCCAUGAAGUCGGAAUCGCUAGUAAUCGUGGAUCAGAAUGCCACGGUGAAUACGUUCCCGGGCCUUGUACACACCGCCCGUCACACCAUGGGAGUGGGUUGCAAAAGAAGUAGGUAGCUUAACCUUCGGGAGGGCGCUUACCACUUUGUGAUUCAUGACUGGGGUGAAGUCGUAACAAGGUAACCGUAGGGGAACCUGCGGUUGGAUCACCUCCUUACCUUAAAGAAGC